Non-coding RNA from Pelobates cultripes (western spadefoot toad), 440 nucleotides. NCBI's taxonomy places the organism in Eukaryota, Metazoa, Chordata, Amphibia, Anura, Pelobatidae. The record is from the annotation of a GenBank genome assembly.
GUAUAACGAGGCCCUGCAGGCAUUUUGCAGCAAACACUGUUUUUUGCAGAGAAAAGGCAGUGUUUACAUUACAGCCUAGGGAUACCUCCACUGACCACUCCUAAUAUGGCUACUAGAGGUGCUUCCUGGGGCAGUGCUUCACACUUUGCAGCACUGCCAUUCAGUGUAUCCACCCUCUGCAUGGAGAUACUGAACAUUCCUCAUAGAGAUGCAUUGAUUCAAUGCUGAUUGGCCUUGAUUGCAUUUGGCUUGUGCUGUCUCUGCACCUGAUCUGUCUCCUUGACAAUCUCAGACAAUCUCAGCCAAGCAUUGUGAUUUUGUAAUUGUGGCUGAAAAAACCAUGUCUUAUGAUGUCAGUCAAAUAGGUAGAUCAGGGGCAGAGCCAGCAGCAACAGAAGACUGGCAUAAAAGUAAGAUAUUACUAUAUUUAGUGGAGUGUC